AUGGACAUGUUGAGUACACGUGUACAUCUGUAUGCCCUUGGUACCUGUGUGGAAGGGCAGCUAACGAAUUUCCACAAGGCAAGGUACAAGCCUGCACAAGGAUUGCACAGAAUGGGUGAAACGAGAGACCUCGAGAGGGCAAAUCCACUUGCUCUUCCUUUACAUUGA
RNAcentral lists this ribosomal RNA (168 nucleotides) under Triticum aestivum (bread wheat). RNAcentral describes it as "partial small subunit ribosomal RNA". The record is from RNAcentral. Lineage: Eukaryota; Viridiplantae; Streptophyta; Magnoliopsida; Poales; Poaceae.